CCUGGCGGCAGUAGCGCGGUGGUCCCACCUGACCCAUGCCGAACUCAGAAGUGAAACGCCGUAGCGCCGAUGGUAGUGUGGGGUCUCCCCAUGCGAGAGUAGGGAACUGCCAGGC
RNAcentral lists this ribosomal RNA (115 nucleotides) under Escherichia coli. Lineage: Bacteria; Pseudomonadati; Pseudomonadota; Gammaproteobacteria; Enterobacterales; Enterobacteriaceae. RNAcentral also lists the same sequence under 2 other names. The record is from RNAcentral.